CCCAGUGAGAUAGGAGGCUGCAAACCCCCCAAUUUGAGUGAAGCUGCGGGGAAGUGAACGGAAAGGCAGUAAAUGCUGUUACUAACUAGAGCUGGUGAGAAGACCCAGCAGAGAUUCCAGUUCAUUCCAGAGGUCAGGUUUUUUUGUUGGGGACCAUCAGAGCCUGGGGAGACAGAGUCUGGUGGAUCUUCGGAAAAAUAGAUGGCGAGCCACCCAAAGAGUGAACUAUUCUUGUGAGAUCUCAUCUUCACUACAAACUGGUGAAGUAACAGGAUAAAAGAUUAAAAGACUUUCUAGUUUUCUUUUUCUAACAAGCACCAGCACUCAUAUUACUUUUGUUUAUUCAUUUAUUUGUUUUCCAAGUUUUCUGAUUGUAUAUGGGUUUUGUGUUUUGUUAUUUCAUUUGAUAUAAAGUGAUAUAGGUGAUAAAGUGAUAUAGGUGAUAAAGUGAUAUAGGUGAUAAAGUGAUAUAGGUGAUAAAGUGAUAUAGGUUAAAACAGAUAUAAGUCAUAUUAAACAAACAAGAGAUAAUCCUAGCUGUCUUAAAUAAUAAUAACCAAUUACAUCUAAAACCAAGAUAAUUAAUACAUCCUAAACUAUAAUAAUUUGAUUAAUUAAGCAUAAUUGAGUACAAUAAUAAUAAUAAUAACAAU
Molecule: long non-coding RNA, 653 nt
Organism: Astyanax mexicanus (Mexican tetra)
Lineage: Eukaryota; Metazoa; Chordata; Actinopteri; Characiformes; Acestrorhamphidae
Exons: 3
Source: RefSeq, a predicted model, not a curated record